This 2617-nucleotide unclassified non-coding RNA is filed under the name Anneissia japonica. Its description in RNAcentral is "serine/arginine-rich splicing factor 1-like, transcript variant X1". Lineage: Eukaryota; Metazoa; Echinodermata; Crinoidea; Comatulida; Comatulidae. The record is from RNAcentral.
AAAAGGACGCCUGAUCGAAAGGACUAAACAGUUGCGUUUGCAUCGUGCUUUGGAUUUGUGAAGUCAUAGGAAUUCGAAAGAAGUGCGAGAAUUUUAUCAUUCAUAAUUUAAUAGUUUACUUUCCGUAAAACAUGUCUCGGGUUGUUCGUGGACCAGCUGGAAAUAAUGAAUGUAGGAUAUAUGUAGGUAAUUUACCUCCAGAUAUCCGUGAAAAGGACAUUGAAGAUAUUUUCUACAAAUUCGGAGACAUCGCAGAUAUUGAUCUGAAGAACAAAAGGGGCCCACCAUUUGCAUUUGUCGAAUUUCUUGAUAAGCGGGAUGCUGAAGAUGCGGUGAAUGCUAGAAAUCGAUACGACUAUGAUGGCUAUCGACUCCGUGUAGAAUAUCCAAGAGCAAGUAGGGGAGGUGGUGGAGGCGGUGGUGGAAGUUUUGGAGGACGGGGUGGUGGUGGUUUUGAUGGUGGAAUGAGGGGAGGUGACGGAGGUAGAGAUGGUGGAAGAGGAAGAGGUCCCCCUGCAAGACGGUCAAAGUUCAGGGUUUUGGUUUCUGGUCUUCCAUCAAGCGGUAGCUGGCAAGACCUAAAGGAUCAUAUGCGUGAAGCUGGUGAUGUUUGUUUCGCAGACGUGUUUCGUGAUGGAACUGGUGUUGUGGAGUUUGUACGAGAAGAGGACAUGAAGUAUGCCGCCAGAGAAUUGAACGAUACAAGGUUUCGAUCUCAUGAGGGUGAAACAUCGUACAUUAAAGUAAAAGCUGAUGCACCACUUUCUAGAGGGCGCUACAGCAGGAGUAGGUCGCGAAGCUUUUCUCCUAAACGGCAACGUUCGUCCCCUCAAUAUGCUCCUCACCGAUCAAGAUCAAGCUCGCAUUCAUCAUCGAGUUCCCGGCGUUAAUCUGCAGCUGUUUGUGUAUUGCCUCUACACACAAGUCUCAGCUUUCCAACAGAUGCAACGAAUGAAGCCAUUAAGCACUACAUCAAUGGUAAGCAUACACAAAGGACCAAAAGGACCUGCAAAGGAUUUCAUUUGAUAUAUAGAAAGGGAUUAACAGAGAUUAAGGAAAUCAUUAUUGUUAACCACCUCGGGAAUCAUUUGCAAAGGAAUCAAAUGGCACAAACCCCAUAUUUAAGGAUCCUCCUGUUGAAGGGAAAGAUGAGACCCAUUUGGAUCAGGAUUAACCAAAUUAUCCACUAGGAUUACAAGGAAAUUCAGGAACAAGGAAAUCUCAAUACAUUCAGGAUUUGGAUUAAGGAUCAUCUUACCCCUUGUAGGAAUGUUGAGGAUGCCAUAAAACACAUGAAAGAGGAUCAGUUGGGAUUUGUGUAAAGGAAACCUCAAAUCAUGGGAGGAUUAAAAAGAUAAUCCAAAUAAGUGUGGAUCAUUUGGAUACAGGGUGCCUGAAAUGUGGAAUCCACACUGCUUUAAAAAAAAAGGCCCCGUUUUAAAUUAAACAAUCAGGAUGUUUAAAGAAUAUCAAUUUUAAUUUGGAAAAUAUUUCCUUAGUCCUCUAUGGAUUACAAUUGAUGCAAUUCACACAAUUUGCUUUCAGAUUUAAUGAGGAUCAAUAAAUUUGGAAACAACCCAAUUCAAUUGAUUUCUAGUGCCCAUAACAAAAUUAAGAUCGCAUUCUUUUAAAAUAUCUCAAUAUUUCAGGGAAGUGGGUAAAAAUGAAAAAUUAUUCUGGUUAAGUAUAGUGUUAUAUUUCCCAAAAAAACCUUUUUACAGGAUGCUCCUGAAAAUUUUAAGAGGAAAGCGAGGGACAGCUUUGAAAGGCAGGAUACUUUCAAAUCCAGGAAAGGGAUACUUUCAAAAAAGCAUUUCAGAAAGGAAAUCUCAAAUUGCUCUAGGAUCAACCUCACAGGAGGGCUUCAUUUCCAUCAUUCAGGAUUUGCAUUCAGGAAUACAUCUCCUGUGGGAAUUCACAUUAGGAUAAAUGGAAAUGCUGCAAUUGAGAAUAAGUAUCAUUUUGAACUGUAUGGUUCUUGCACACACAGAUUUAAUCACAUGACAUGUUAGUCUUCUGUCUGUUCCAGACUACCAUUUUUUAAAGUGUUGAGUGUUCUCUGUUUCGUUUGUUCAAACCAAAAUAAAAUUUUAUUUUGCGCAACCAUAUAUCAAGGGGGAAGAAACACUAAACAAUAAAAACUAGAUUUGUUUAUUCAAUAAACAAAUACUGUAAAUGUAUUUUUACAUUUGUCAUCAGCAUUUUAUUUUUUUUUUUGUUUCUAACCGUAUUUCUUUAUAAUUGAGCACUCUAUUGCAUCGCUCAAUUGCAUGUCCAAAUUUGCAUGAUUUAUUGAGCAACAUCAUUUCUUGUAUCACAAUGUAUGUUGAUUUUUUUCUUCACAGCUUAGGCAGUGCAUUGCAGUCACAUGCUCAAUGUACUGUAAAUUAAUAUAUUAAAUAACAUGAAUGUAGAUGUUUCCACUACAGAAAUGUUUUCUGAUUUAAAUUGUUUAACCAUGAGUUUCUUCCAGGUCUUGUACAGUAGACGGUUUUCAACUUGUUUCUGUGGAUUGUUGCAAGGAUAUGACACUCAACAUACAAGACUAAUAAAACGAAUACGUAUAUAAAUUUUAAUAAAAGUGCACAUUGAAUUAAAGGUAUUUUUACACAUGUUA